UUUCAAUUUUAGACUUAUCUAAGUCAGAAAAUGCCAGACUUGUUUAGGUCUAUUUAUGUUGAUGAAAAAACUUAAUUUUACUUGGUGGCCAAAGUACUCCACCUAUGACAGCAAAAACCUGUCUGAGAGUUCACAAGGACUUGAGCUAUCUAUAUUUAAUUAUCUAAUUGAACAUCCUUACUAAACACAGAUGUUUUACCUCAUUAAGUGUGGUUCCAGGUGGUUGCAUUGUAGGGUUAAUUAACAUUAUCUCCGAUUUUUUAGACUCUCAUUCAUAUUUUUCUUUAGAAGAAAAAGAAUUGUCUUUUAAUGUUGUCAUUAUUUGAUUAAGAUGCAUGACCUUAUAAAAUAUGCGUGGGUCUUGAAGUUGACCAAUUUUGGUAACUUAUUGACUUGUCAUUCUUGUAGGAGUCAAUAUUUGCAAUUUUUUU
RNAcentral lists this long non-coding RNA (431 nucleotides) under Mytilus galloprovincialis (Mediterranean mussel). The record is from RNAcentral. Lineage: Eukaryota; Metazoa; Mollusca; Bivalvia; Mytilida; Mytilidae.